UACGGAGGGGGCUAGCGUUAUUCGGAAUUACUGGGCGUAAAGCGCACGUAGGCGGAUUGACAAGUCAGAGGUGAAAUCCCAGGGCUCAACCUUGGAACUGCCUUUGAAACUGUCAGUCUUGAGGUCGUGAGAGGUGAGUGGAAUUCCGAGUGUAGAGGUGAAAUUCGUAGAUAUUCGGAGGAACACCAGUGGCGAAGGCGGCUCACUGGCACGAUACUGACGCUGAGGUGCGAAAGCGUGGGGAGCAAACAGG
This 253-nucleotide ribosomal RNA is filed under the name bacterium. RNAcentral describes it as "partial 16S ribosomal RNA". It matches the Rfam family "Bacterial small subunit ribosomal RNA", at positions 524 to 776 of the family's 1533-position model. RNAcentral also lists the same sequence under 1 other name. The record is from RNAcentral.